GAUGGCAGUGACGAUUUGCAAAUAUUCAAGCUCAACAGACCUAAUCAAAGAUUUUCUCUCCGGAGUUGAUUUGUAUGCCGAUUACCCCGCUGAACCGAGCCAUC
Molecule: non-coding RNA, 104 nt
Organism: Triticum aestivum (bread wheat)
Lineage: Eukaryota; Viridiplantae; Streptophyta; Magnoliopsida; Poales; Poaceae
Source: Rfam